Small nucleolar RNA from Pan troglodytes (chimpanzee), 98 nucleotides. It matches the Rfam family "Small nucleolar RNA U13". NCBI's taxonomy places the organism in Eukaryota, Metazoa, Chordata, Mammalia, Primates, Hominidae. The record is from Rfam.
UUCCCUGUGACACAUCAGCAGGAUGACUGGGCUUUCAUCCUCCUGGGUGGGACAUGCCUCCCUCAAGCCUUGCUGCUGGGCACAUUAUCUGUCCAACA